UAGGGAAUCUUCCGCAAUGGGCGAAAGCUUGACGGAGCAACGCCGCGUGAGUGAUGAAGGUCUUCGGAUCGUAAAACUCUGUUAUUAGGGAAGAACAAAUGUGUAAGUAACUAUGCACGUCUUGACGGUACCUAAUCAGAAAGCCACGGCUAACUACGUGCCAGCAGCCGCGGUAAUACGUAGGUGGCAAGCGUUAUCCGGAAUUAUUGGGCGUAAAGCGCGCGUAGGCGGUUUUUUAAGGCUGAUGUGAAAGCCCACGGCUCAACCGUGGAGGGUCAUUGGAAACUGGAAAACUUGAGUGCAGAAGAGGAAAGUGGAAUUCCAUGUGUAGCGGUGAAGUGCGCAGAGGUAUGGAGGAACACCAGUGGCGAAGGCGACUUUCUGGUCUGUAACUGACGCUGAUGUGCGAAAGCGUGGGGAUCAAACAGG
RNAcentral lists this ribosomal RNA (429 nucleotides) under Actinomycetes bacterium. Its description in RNAcentral is "Actinobacteria bacterium partial 16S ribosomal RNA". It matches the Rfam family "Bacterial small subunit ribosomal RNA", at positions 355 to 776 of the family's 1533-position model. Lineage: Bacteria; Bacillati; Actinomycetota; Actinomycetes. The record is from RNAcentral.